RNAcentral lists this non-coding RNA (23 nucleotides) under Arabidopsis thaliana (thale cress). Lineage: Eukaryota; Viridiplantae; Streptophyta; Magnoliopsida; Brassicales; Brassicaceae. The record is from RNAcentral.
UGGCUAUGGGAGAUGGGUGGCCA